RNAcentral lists this ribosomal RNA (417 nucleotides) under Succinea caduca. RNAcentral's name for it is "partial 16S ribosomal RNA". Lineage: Eukaryota; Metazoa; Mollusca; Gastropoda; Stylommatophora; Succineidae. The record is from RNAcentral.
AGUUUGGUUUUUCUGCUCAUGAGUUUAAUAGCCGCAGUACUUUGACUGUGCUAAGGUAGCAUAAUCAAUUGUCUUUUAAUUGGGGACUAGAAUGAAUGAAUUUAUGGUUAAAUUCUUUAUUUAUAUAUUUUAUUAAAAUUUAUUUAUUAGGUGAAAAUACCUAAAUAUUUUUAUUAGACGAGAAGACCCCAGGAAUUUAAUUUUUUUUAUUGGGGCGAUAUCUAAACAUUAAAAACUUUAGAUUUAUAAUAAAACGAAAAAUUUUAAUUUAAAAUAAAUUACCCUGGGGAUAACAGCAUAAUUUUUUAUAAAGAUUGUGACCUCGAUGUUGGAUUAGAAAAAAAUUUUACUUAAAGAGUAAUUUUUCAUGUUCUGUUCGAACAAUAAUGAUUUUUCUACAUGAUCUGAANAAAAACC